RNAcentral lists this long non-coding RNA (580 nucleotides) under Elaeis guineensis (African oil palm). RNAcentral describes it as "long non-coding RNA (EGUI_LNC075674)". The record is from RNAcentral. Lineage: Eukaryota; Viridiplantae; Streptophyta; Magnoliopsida; Arecales; Arecaceae.
CUUGACAAAGAUCCACACUUCCAUUUUCAAUAAUGACCUUGACAAACAAUAGAUAAAUUUCUUCUAUCAACUGUUAUUUUUCUCUAGUAUUGGCUGAGAUUCUUUUUUGUAACAGCUUUUAUUCCCAAAAAAAACAAUUGAAGGCUAGACUUGGCAUGACAACAUUUUCCAUCUCACAUUAAUGCCAGUAAGGAGGAGUGCAUUAUCAAAAAUGUGGACAAGUUCAACGCUGGCAUCAAUAUAAGUAAUAUAUAGAAACCACAAAGCAACAUGAAUUUACAGCGCAUCCAGGCGCACCUUGAAUCAAAGCAGUAGAAAUUAAAAACCGAAUCUUGUGUAAAAGACAGCAGUUUCAAUAGGUCGACUAAAAUAAGUGACCUGAGGCUGGAACUUCAAACCUUCUCCAAGAGCUGAAGUUUGUUGCUUACCCCUUCCUUUUAAGCAGCAUGGGUGCUCCUUUAGCAUAAAAGUCCAAUGAAAGUCCCUAUAAGCUGGCAAAAACAUAUUUUGUCAAGCAAAUAUAAGUAGCUGAGGUGCCUCGUUAGAGAGAGAGAGAGAGAGGAGGAGAGAGAGAGAGAUC